Molecule: long non-coding RNA, 205 nt
Filed under: Glycine max (soybean)
Lineage: Eukaryota; Viridiplantae; Streptophyta; Magnoliopsida; Fabales; Fabaceae
Description: long non-coding RNA (GMAX_LNC004531)
Source: RNAcentral
CAACCUAGGCAUCAGCCUUUUGGGAGACCAAAUGGUGGCUGACUUGUUGGCUGUUGGGGGUGACUUUUGGUUGCCACAAUUUCAGUUACACUCAGCCAUUAAGUUUUUUUAAUUCCCUAGGUUAAUGACAUUAAGUUAUUUUAAUUCUAGGUUAGUGGGUCAUUACUAAAAUCUGCUGUAAAGCUUCUAUAUAAGCUGAACCAUU